This 107-nucleotide non-coding RNA is filed under the name Chinchilla lanigera (long-tailed chinchilla). The record is from RNAcentral. Lineage: Eukaryota; Metazoa; Chordata; Mammalia; Rodentia; Chinchillidae.
GUGUUCCUGAAAGGAGGGACGGCUAGCACUCUUCUUGACAAGGAUGGAAAAGGCCCUUGGGCCUGACAACAUGCAUAUGGUUAAGGCAUCAUCAGCUGCCUACUUCG